GUGGGCUCAGCCAUGAAGCCGAGGCCGCCAGCCCAGGCCCGGGGCCGGCGCUAACCCAGGGCUGCUGCGGGCCACGGGCCCCGGCCCCGGGCGAGCGGCUCCCAGCGCGCGGCGGCCGCCCCGGCUGCUCACCAUGCCGGCCAAGCAGCAGCGCUUCCAGGAGCCCGAGGUCGGCUGCUGCGGAAAAUAUUUCCUGUUCGGUUUCAACAUUGUCUUCUGGCUGUUGGGGGCUGUGUUGCUGAUCAUAGGCUUGUGGGCCUGGGGAGAGAAGGGUGUCCUUUCCAACAUCUCCUCACUCACCCACCUGAGUGGCCUGGAUCCCGUGUGGUUCUUCGUGGUGAUUGGAGGUAUCAUGUCUGUGCUGGGCUUCGCAGGCUGCAUCGGGGCCCUUCGGGAGAACACCUUCUUACUCAAGUUUUUCUCGGUGUUCCUUGGCCUCAUCUUCUUUCUGGAGCUGGCCACAGGAAUCCUGGCCUUCGUUUUCAAGGACUGGAUUAGAGACCAGCUCAAUAUAUUCAUCAACAACAACGUCAAGGCCUAUCGGGAUGAUAUUGACCUGCAAAACCUCAUCGACUUUGCUCAGGAAUAUUGGUCAUGUUGCGGAGCCCGAGGGCCCAGCGACUGGAACCUCAACAUCUAUUUUAACUGCACUGACUGGAACCCCAGCCGUGAGCGCUGUGGGGUGCCCUUCUCCUGCUGUGUCAAGGAUCCUGCGGAGGAUGUUCUCAAUACCCAGUGUGGCUAUGAUGUCCGGCUCAAACUGGAACUGGAGCAACAGAGCUUCAUCUACACAAAAGGCUGUGUGGGCCAGUUUGAAAAGUGGCUCCAAGACAACCUGGUUGUGGUGGCUGGGGUCUUCGUGGGCAUUGCCAUGCUCCAGGUCGCUUAAUGUCCCCAGGCCUCAGAUUCUUCCCCUGUACAGAGAAGGUGUUGUACCAGCUGGCCUCUUCGGUCCUGUGAGUGAUCUUUGGCAUUUGCUUGGCCCAGAAUCUUGUGAGCGACAUCAAUGCAGUGAAAGCCAAUUGGUGAGGGCGGAGAGGGUGACUCUGAGCCAGCAGCAUCAAGGCCUCAGAGGGUGGGCAGCCCCGGCCAGGGCCACAGUCGGCUAUGCGGAUGAACUCCAGGGGUGGCUUUAGCAGGCCCACCUUGAGGGGCCCCCACCAGCACCUCGAUCAAUGGCCCUGGCACCCCUGAGCUGCUAUGGUCGGGUGGGGCUGCAGGGAGGGUAUUUAUAUUUAGGUUACAGAGAACUGUAUUGAGUGGGGAUGGGGUCUGUGUCCAUGCUGGGGUGAUGGAAGGGGUGCAGCUGUCUAUUCCCUCCCCUGGGCACAGCUGUGAAGUCCAGAGAUGAUGACAAGGACUUCUGGGGUGGCUGGUUGUCAUGGAAACAGCUCCAUAUAAUGAGGGGUAGGGGGAGAAUAAAAGGUUCUAAAUUGGGUAAUGAUUCCUGAGAGUCGUGAUAAAGGGAACAGUAUCAUUCCAUGAUGCUACCCGGACCCCAGAACCUGCUGUGAGGCGGGGAGGGAGUGUGCUGGGGAAAGCUGGAGUGGGGAGGGGUUCUGCUGUUGCCCCCACCAACCCCGUGGAGACUAAUAAACUGUCCUCACCCUCACUCA
This is an RNA transcript of Phascolarctos cinereus (koala), 1616 nucleotides long. It is a transcript of the gene named tetraspanin 17, with no coding region annotated. The record is from RefSeq and is a predicted model, not a curated record. Lineage: Eukaryota; Metazoa; Chordata; Mammalia; Diprotodontia; Phascolarctidae.